AAAACCUACAAAAGAAAGAAAUGUCUGGAUUUUACAAACACCUGAAUGGGUAAAAAAGGAUCAGGACCCUUCCAUCAAAGGCAGUUCCACAUAGAUCCCCCAAGUAUUCAGAGACAAGCUGAAAGCUAAACUUCAGGUCAUCAAUGACACUAAUGUAAGCAGCACAAGACAAAGAAGCAGCGUAAGGCAAAGCAGAAUGGGAAAAGGGAUGAAGCAGAGAAGUAAAGGAAAGAAGAGAGAAUGAAGAAGAGGAAGGGCUGCUCAGCAUACAUUUUUCAGCACUCCAUCAUCUGCCUCCACAUUGCUCAGUUACUUGCUGUAGUUUGCUCUUUCAGCGCCGAGUGCUCUGGACUUCCUCCACAUUCAAACUCUACCUAAUCAAACUCUCCACAAACUUCUGCAGAACAAGACUGGGGCUGGUCUCUGCUGCAACGAUAAGGAAAAGUUUGCCUUUGGUGGAACAUAAAUAUUUCCCGAAAUGAAGCAUCCAUUUGUUUUAUCAAGGUACAAAAUAGGACAGAUUUAAGAGCAUGCAUAAGCAUUUUGUUGAAUUGAGGCCGCAGAAAUCAAUGGCAGUUUUGUGGAAAACUGAGUACCGCAUACAUUGCUUAAAUGCUUGCUCUGUAGGGUGGACUCUCUAAUGACUUUCUGUCUGUAGUUAAGGAAAGUGUGCUUUUUCUGAAAAAUUGACACUGUCCCAUAACUUCCACAGUCACAGCUUGCUUUAUUUUAUCCUCUUCUGUGCAUCUUGGCUGCAAGACAGGGGGUUUCCGCCCAUGACCUCUGUCUCCCCAGCCUUAUUCCUUCCAAAGGGAGAUCUUCUCUUCCUCUUGCUCGUUUGCAGGGCAGGUGUCUAAGAGACGUCUGUUAUCUCCUAGAACGACUCCCUUGCCUCUUUAAUCUAAACGUCCUUAUUCUAGGCAGCUCUAUCCUGAGGAGUAGGUGAUUGGUUUCUUAAAAAAUGGUUUUUUGUUCCUCAAUCUACUGUCUGUCAUUCAGAGUUUUAUACUAAACGCCAUCAUAACGGUGUCUGAGCCUGAUAUUUAUCAUCCACUAGUUGGGCUUUAUGGACACUGUGUUGUCUCCCCAUGUGUGGUAGGGAGAAGGGCUGUAUGCGCACUGCUUUGAGAAGCAUUGUGUUUUCCUCGGUACUUUCUAUUUUAGCUGGUUAGUGUUACAAGUGUCGCUGCUGGAGUGGGAGACAUCAAUAAAGAGGACAGUUCAGAAGUGUUUCCCAAUCCAGUCUCGGUCAGUCCUGAUCUCUCCCAUUCAUGCCCAUGCCACCACCGCUAGAUGAAGGAUGCCUUGUUGUCAACACUCACGAGCUUCAUCCUGGGCUUACUGAUCUGGCUUUUUCUGUGAAUUAAGGAUCUCCAUUAUCUAUUCGCUGUUAGCACCAGGGGGGUUACUGUGAUAUUUUAGACAAAGCCCUCUUUUGAGAUUUACUGCUUAGCUUCAGUUCUUUCAAGUCUCCUUUGAUGUAGAGGGAAGUAACUGCAACUUUCCACACUUCUUAAUAACAGUAUUAGCUGAUUGUAGGUAUGUCACGUGGCAGGGCUGUCAGCUAUCGUAUGUAUGCACAGCUGGGUAACAUCCACAGAACUGGCUCUGUAGCAGGUGAUAGCAGGCUUGACAGCCCAGUUUAGCAGGAUUAAAGCAUUUCUCCAUUAUUUUCAAUAGAUGCAACAAAACCAUUUUGAAGUGAUUUUUCGUAAGUAACAGUUUUGAAAGUAUUCACCACCUCAGGAAGUAGAAAGGCAAUCCUUUAAACCAAGAAUCACCGGAGAGGAGAAACUAAAAUAAAAUGAAGUCUUGGAUGAGGAGUUUGUGGUAUUCAGGGGCUGGGUAUGCUGGCAACAGGCCCUCUAAGGAGGGAGCUGCUGAUAAUCAAGACGUGCAAGCUGCUGCUGAGCACCUGAAGGCUCGCAUGACUUCAAACAGCAGCAGAGGCAGGGGGAAUAAAAGGGAGCAGGCGAUACUGUGUAUGCUGUGAGCUGCUAGAAUGGGAGUUUGAUAACAAAGGGUUAUUUCCUCCUAGUAAAUUUGAUGGAGCAUGUACCGAUUUUUAUUCCUUUCAGUAAGGAUUGUAUGAUUUUUCCAGCCUUUCUCCAAAGGUGGUUUAUCCUGGCUUGUUAGACUUUGUAUGAAAACACACAAAGUGCUCCAGCAGGCACCUUGUCUCGCCUGGGAGGCAGCUACUAACAGUUUAGAGACAGCAAGGUGCAGGCUUUUAAACUGCCUCUCUUUGCUCGCCAUCUAGUUCUGCUUUGUGGUAAUGCAUCUAUUCACGGAAGGGUAGAAGAGAACAGAAGGGCAAUUUUAAUAAAUGUGCUAAAAAUUUACAAGAUGUGUGAAUGUGCAUAUGUUAAUGAAAGUAGUGCAGGUGAAACAAUGGCAUGUUAAUUGGCACACCAGCCCUGAGCACAGGACUGGGAGCACAACCGAAUGGCCAUGUUGACAGACCCUAUUUGUUGUUACCAUGUAAUUUGCCGUAGUUUUGCUGCCUUCAUAUUGUAUCUGGGCUGGUUUGUUUCUAUGUUUUGUAAAAGUAUUGAUGCUUUUUUGUAUCCAAGUGUUUAAGAAAAAGUGAAUUCCUUACCUGUGAGUUUCUUCAUCUCAGCAUUUAUUUCACCUAUA
Dromaius novaehollandiae (emu) is the source of this 2637-nucleotide long non-coding RNA. RefSeq lists it as uncharacterized. The record is from RefSeq and is a predicted model, not a curated record. The transcript has 4 exons. NCBI's taxonomy places the organism in Eukaryota, Metazoa, Chordata, Aves, Casuariiformes, Dromaiidae.